GAGGCAUUUUCCUUGUAAUAUAGCAAACUUGGCAAGCACUGAAUAAAACACAUGCGAAUCUUAGGCAGGGAUGAUGUGUCCAAUGGAGGUACGUACUAAUAACCAGUCCUUGUCGUUGUAUAGGACCUGAGCUGCUGAAUGAAAGCGUCGAUGCACCUCUCGUGACACUCCGUGUCGGCCACCACCUCCCCCAUCUUCCCGGCGUUGGCGGCGAGCGCCUUCUUGCUCUCUUCAUCCACCACGGCGGCCCGGACGGCUGCGGCGACGCCGUCCCGGUCGAAGGCGCCGCCGUGCU
This 295-nucleotide unclassified non-coding RNA is filed under the name Hevea brasiliensis (rubber tree). Lineage: Eukaryota; Viridiplantae; Streptophyta; Magnoliopsida; Malpighiales; Euphorbiaceae. The record is from RNAcentral.